UGAGGAAUAUUGGUCAAUGGGCGGAAGCCUGAACCAGCCAAGUAGCGUGAAGGAUGACUGCCCUAUGGGUUGUAAACUUCUUUUAUAAGGGAAUAAAUGUGGGUACGCGUACCCGUUUGCAUGUACCUUAUGAAUAAGGAUCGGCUAACUCCGUGCCAGCAGCCGCGGUAAUACGGAGGAUCCGAGCGUUAUCCGGAUUUAUUGGGUUUAAAGGGAGCGUAGGCGGGCGCUUAAGUCAGCUGUGAAAGUUUGGGGCUCAACCUUAAAAUUGCAGUUGAUACUGGGUGCCUUGAGUGCAGUAUAGGCAGGCGGAAUUCGUGGUGUAGCGGUGAAAUGCUUAGAUAUCACGAAGAACUCCUAUUGCGAAGGCAGCUUGCUGGAGUGUAACUGACGCUGAUGCUCGAAAGUGUGGGUAUCAAACAGG
This 424-nucleotide ribosomal RNA is filed under the name uncultured bacterium. Its description in RNAcentral is "bacterial SSU rRNA". It matches the Rfam family "Bacterial small subunit ribosomal RNA", at positions 355 to 776 of the family's 1533-position model. The record is from RNAcentral.